Molecule: long non-coding RNA, 1453 nt
Filed under: Oryza sativa Japonica Group (Japanese rice)
Lineage: Eukaryota; Viridiplantae; Streptophyta; Magnoliopsida; Poales; Poaceae
Description: photoperiod-sensitive male sterility
Source: RNAcentral
GAAACCACGCAAGCUUGGCUCUUUGUUCCAUACUCAUCUGAAAUUUCUUGUGAACUGGAGCAUGAUAUAUAGGCUUAGGAUGCAUCAGGAAAGAAGCUUCUACUAUUGUACAUGCCCAACAAGCUCUUAUUUGUUAAGGCGCUAGAAGAUUAGAACUUACUCGGUCUAGUUUCAAAUUAACAGAUUGGAUGAUCUAAGGAUAGUGUAGAAGCUUUUUGUUCAAAAUCACAAUAAAGAUAUAUGAUCAAAACCUUAAUAAUUUGUCUUUGUUAUUACAAAUACUGGAACACAGUCAUCAGUUAUAGCCAACACUCAUCACUGUCGGUUCGGCGGAUAGUUAUUGAGUAUAGUAACUAUCGGUCUAUGCCAGGUUAAUUCGGGCAGUCCGGCAAUUUUGCCUGGUAUCACCAAUUGUCCAUGCGAACAGAAAAAGUUCGGUACUUGGGCUUCUCUAUAUACUAUAUACUAGUUAGCGUGCACGUGCCCUUGCAACAAUAUCGAAUGGGAGUACCUAUACAUCUUUCGAAAGAUUUUUAUGAUCGUAUCACACAGAUUUUUAAUCUUUGGAUUAAAAUCCGAUAGAUAUAUGUAACAGAAAAAACUUAACCUUUACCAUAACAAUAGAGAGAAACAAAUCGAUUAUUUUUUUUCUAAAAAACAAACAAUCAAAUAAUAUAUCACCGAUAAUUGUUUACGGCCCAUUGCCAUCUCCGCCUAAUGAACGCCUUGCAUGUUGGCCCCAAGCCACACUCUUUUUUAGGCAGAGAGAAUUCAGUUGUUUUAUUUAGUAUUUAUAAUUAUCCAAAAUGGUGCUACUGUUUGUUAAUGGUGGUGCAAACAAUUGCUUUGCUGGUCCAGUUUAAAAUCGGAUGAUUAACGGAAGCAUUAGCUAGUGGUGACAGGGAUAAAUCUCCGAGAAAAAUGGCAUAAAGCAACAAUACUCGAAGAGGCUCGCAUUGAUGCUAUGUAAGAGAAAAUUUGAUUAUGAAAUACAAGUUACAAAUUAUCAUAGUCAUGUAACUGUUUGCUAGUGUUUAUGCAAAUGGUCAUUUCUUUCAUUACGGUUUGAUUAGAUAAUUACUAACAGCAUCAUUAGGUUGCUAAAUUGGAUGGUUGCUAACAACAUCAUUAGGUUGCUGUGAUAAUAUGAUCGUUCUGCAAGAAAAGGUUGCAGUUAUAGUGAUGAAGUUGUGAGCCAAAAGGAAGAAUACAGGCACAGUGACAUCUGUCACGCUGAUGGUACUGAAGUACGCAAAUCUGUUUACAAAUUGUAGCAAAUUUUUGUCAUUUUUCAGUUGAGGUAGAUGUGAGAGGCGACGUCUUGAAUGAAUGAGCUAGUUGAAGCUCUAAAGCAGCCUGGUUUGAGCACCUGCAAACAAAACCACACCUCCAGCUAUCAAUCAAUCAGCUUCUGGACUUGCCAAAAUUACUAUAUGAAAAUCUUGAAAUGGUC